GAAGCUGGCGGCGCGUUUUAAGCAUGCAAGUCGCACGGCAAGGGGGACUUCGGUCCCCCCUAGAGUGGCGGACGGGUGAGUAACACGUGGACAACCUACCCUGCGGUCGGGGAUAGCCCAUGGAAACAUGGGGUAAUACCGGAUGCGACCGCCCCCGCAGAAGCGGGGGUGGGGAAAGGCGCCAAGGCGGCGCCGCAGGAUGGGUCCGCGGUCCAUUAGCUAGUUGGCGGGGUAACGGCCCACCAAGGCGACGAUGGAUAGCCGGCCUGAGAGGGCGACCGGCCACAUUGGGACUGAGACACGGCCCAGACUCCUACGGGAGGCAGCAGCUAAGAAUCUUCCGCAAUGGACGCAAGUCUGACGGAGCGACGCCGCGUGAACGAUGAAGGCCGUGAGGUUGUAAAGUUCUUUUCCGGGGGAGGAAUAAGGAUGGCAGGGAAUGGCCGUCCGAUGACGUGAACCCGGGAAUAAGCCCCGGCUAACUACGUGCCAGCCGCCGCGGUAAUUC
This 508-nucleotide ribosomal RNA is filed under the name bacterium enrichment culture clone NKeF3NA4. Its description in RNAcentral is "bacterial SSU rRNA". It matches the Rfam family "Bacterial small subunit ribosomal RNA", at positions 35 to 526 of the family's 1533-position model. The record is from RNAcentral.